AAUAAUAUGAAGUAUUUGAUCAUUUAUUUUAACUAUUGGUUCAUGACCUGACGUCAAAUGUAGUAGUUAAUUUGGUAUAUUUUCGCACUUAAGGAGCAUGUUUUCUAGCACUUUUAGUAUUUAUUAUUGUAUUUUUGGUAUUUCGUAGUUAGUAUUAAAAUUUAAUAAAAUAAGUGUUUUUACAAAAAUUUGUGGGUGUUGUGACCUAUUAGGCUGACAUGCGC
Molecule: long non-coding RNA, 224 nt
Filed under: Gossypium barbadense (sea-island cotton)
Lineage: Eukaryota; Viridiplantae; Streptophyta; Magnoliopsida; Malvales; Malvaceae
Description: long non-coding RNA (GBAR_LNC018540)
Source: RNAcentral